AGAUUAUGGCUCAGGAUGAACGCUAGCUACAGGCUUAACACAUGCAAGUCGAGGGGCAGCAUGGGAUAGCUUGCUAUUCAGAUGGCGACCGGCGCACGGGUGAGUAACGCGUAUCCAACCUUCCUGCCAGUAGGGAACAGCCCGGCGAAAGUCGGAUUAAUGCCCUAUGUUCUCAAUGCGGACAUCUAAGUUGAAGGAAAGAUUCAUCGCUGGCAGAUGGGGGAUGCGUCCGAUUAGCUUGCCGGCGGGGUAACGGCCCACCGGGGCGACGAUCGGUAGGGGUUCUGAGAGGAAGGUCCCCCACACUGGUACUGAGACACGGACCAGACUCCUACGGGAGGCAGCAGUGAGGAAUAUUGGUCAAUGGGCGUAAGCCUGAACCAGCCAAGUAGCGUGCAAGGGAUGACGGCCCUACGGGUUGUAAACUGCUUUUAUGCGGGGAUAAAGUGCGGCACGUGUGCCGCUUUGCAGGUACCGCAUGAAUAAGGACCGGCUAAUUCCGUGCCAGCAGCCGC
This 515-nucleotide ribosomal RNA is filed under the name uncultured bacterium. Its description in RNAcentral is "bacterial SSU rRNA". It matches the Rfam family "Bacterial small subunit ribosomal RNA", at positions 14 to 518 of the family's 1533-position model. The record is from RNAcentral.